Small nucleolar RNA from Cavia porcellus (domestic guinea pig), 131 nucleotides. Ensembl annotates it as small nucleolar RNA SNORA5. Lineage: Eukaryota; Metazoa; Chordata; Mammalia; Rodentia; Caviidae. The record is from Ensembl.
UGCGGUCAAGUCAAAUUCAGCCCUCAUUUCAUCAUGCUGUGGUCUGGCCCAGAUGGCUGCUACUGUUCUACUGUUCAUGGACUCUGAGUCCUCUGCCUGGGACCUGGGGAUAAAUUUGGUCAUAGACAUUU